Molecule: ribosomal RNA, 421 nt
Filed under: uncultured bacterium
Lineage: Bacteria
Description: bacterial SSU rRNA
Rfam family: Bacterial small subunit ribosomal RNA
Source: RNAcentral
AGAGUUUGAUCCUGGCUCAGGACGAACGCUGGCGGCGUGCUUAACACAUGCAAGUCGAGCGGAAAGGCCCUUCGGGGUACUCGAGCGGCGAACGGGUGAGUAACACGUGAGUAACCUGCCCCUAGCUCUGGGAUAGCUCCGGGAAACCGGGAUUAAUACCAGAUACGACCACUUUAGACAUCUGUCGUGGUGGAAAGGAUUCCGGCUAGGGAUGGGCUCGCGGCCUAUCAGCUUGUUGGUGGGGUAACGGCCUACCAAGGCGACGACGGGUAGCCGGCCUGAGAGGGCGACCGGCCACACUGGGACUGAGACACGGCCCAGACUCCUACGGGAGGCAGCAGUGGGGAAUAUUGCGCAAUGGGCGAAAGCCUGACGCAGCGACGCCGCGUGGGGGAUGAAGGCCUUCGGGUUGUAAACCCCU